RNAcentral lists this ribosomal RNA (379 nucleotides) under uncultured eukaryote. RNAcentral's name for it is "partial 18S ribosomal RNA". It matches the Rfam family "Eukaryotic small subunit ribosomal RNA", at positions 592 to 975 of the family's 1831-position model. The record is from RNAcentral.
CAAUAGCGUAUAUUAAAGUUGUUGCGGUUAAAAAGCUCGUAGUUGGAUUUCUGUUGAGGACGGCCGGUCCGCACUAUGUGCGUGUAUCUGGUUCGGCCUUGGCAUCCUCUUGAGGAACGUAUCUGCGCUUGAUUGCGUGGAGCGGUAUUCAAGACUUUUACUUUGAGGAAAUUAGAGUGUUCACGGCAGGCAAGCGCCUUGAAUACGUUAGCAUGGAAUGAUAAUAUAGGAUCUUGGUUCUAUUUUGUUGGUUUCUAGAGCUAAGGUAAUGAUUAAUAGGGAUAAUUGGGGGCAUUUGUAUUAACGCGUCAGAGGUGGAAUUCUUGGAUUGCGUUACGACAAACUACUGCGAANGNAUUUGGNAAGGAUGUUUNCAUUG